UACGUAGGGUGCAAGCAUUGUCCGGAUUUAUUUGGCGUAAAGAGCUCGUAGGCGGCUUGUCACGUCGGAUGUGAAAACUCGGGGCUCAACCCCGAGCCUGCAUUCGAUACGGGCUAGCUAGAGUGUUGCAGGGGAGACUGGAAUUCCUGGUGUAGCGGUGAAAUGCGCAGAUAUCAGGAGGAACACCGGUGGCGAAGGCGGGUCUCUGGGCAACUACUGACGCUGAGGAGCGAAAGCGUGGGGAGCGAACAGGAUUAGAUACCCUGGUAGUCCACGCCGUAAACGUUGGGCGCUAGGUGUGGGGAACCUUCCACGUUCUCCGUGCCGUAGCUAACGCAUUAAGCGCCCCGCCUGGGGAGUACGGCCGCAAGGCUAAA
Molecule: ribosomal RNA, 377 nt
Filed under: uncultured bacterium
Lineage: Bacteria
Description: bacterial SSU rRNA
Rfam family: Bacterial small subunit ribosomal RNA
Source: RNAcentral